RNA transcript from Pollicipes pollicipes, 4190 nucleotides. RefSeq lists it as uncharacterized. The record is from RefSeq and is a predicted model, not a curated record. The transcript has 2 exons. NCBI's taxonomy places the organism in Eukaryota, Metazoa, Arthropoda, Thecostraca, Pollicipedomorpha, Pollicipedidae.
CACGCCGCCGCCCGACGCGAAUGAACCGUGCCCAGAUGUCGCCAAGCUGGCCCCGCUGGCCGCCGCGGCACGCUGCGUUCCAACAACGGAAGGUGCCGGAUUGGACGCUGGGGAUACCGCCGACGGUCCGCCAGGGUCGGUUAGAUGGUCACAUUGCCCACCUGGUGGACCGGGGCGUCUCCCCGCAGGAAUCAAGCUGGUGUUCGCCCGCUCGCCGGCCGCCGCGGGGCGAGACGUUCACUCCCCGAUCGCAACAGAGCGCGCUGUCGGCUCUCCGCCCACCGUGGAACCCACUGUUAGUUCCCAGGUCGCCGGGGAACGCACUGUUGAUUCUCCAGCCGCCGCGGGACGCACUGUUAGUUCACCGACCGCCACGGAGCGCACUGUUGGCUCUCCAGCCUCCGUGGAACGCACUGUUGAUUCUCCAGCCGCCACGGGACGCACUGUUAGUUCUCCGACCGCCACGGAGCGCACUGUUGGCUCUCCAGCCUCCGCGGAACGCACUGUUGAUUCUCCAGCCACCGCGGGACGCACUGUUAGUUCUCCGACCGCCACGGAGCGCGCUGUUGGCUCUCCAGCCUCCGCGGAACGCACUGUUGAUUCUCCAGCCGCCGCGGGACGCACUGUUAGUUCUCCGACCGCCACGGAGCGCACUGUUGGCUCUCCAGCCUCCGCGGAACGCACUGUUGAUCCUCCAGCCGCCACGGGACGCACUGUUAGUUUUCCGGCCGCCGCGGAGCGCACCGUUGGUUCUCCGGCCUCCGCGGAACGCACUGUUGAUUCUCCAGGCACCGCGGGACGCACUGUUAGUUCUCCGACCGCCACGGAGCGCACUGUUGGCUCUCCAGCCUCCGCGGAACGCACUGUUGAUUCUCCAGCCGCCGCGGGACGCACUGUUAGUUCUCCGGCCGCCGCGGGGCGCACCGUUGGUUCUCCGGCCGCUGCGAGACGGACCGCUGGUUCUCCGGCCGCUUUGAGAUAUACCACCAUCCGUGAGCAGGUCGUGGCAGAUGUCCCGCCGUCGCCGACGCUGCUCGGCGGCCACAUGUGCGUCAUCCCGUCUACCGACGUGCCGGCCGCGGCACUGCGUCAUAGCCCGCAGCGAGGAGGCGCCAGCAAGUGCCGAACCGACCUGCCCGUCGCCAGGAGGCCUGACCGGCGCGCCGAGAGCACGCAGAGGCAGGCUGCUGCGUCCAUAAGAGGCGGCCAGCUCGUCUACCACGCCAACGGCUGCGUGAUUGACAAGAGACCGCGCAACACGGUGUUGGAGCUGGUAGGGCUGCACAGUCGCGUCCGCACGAGGCCGUGUGUCGUCAUGCUUAAUCUAAAACAGGUGCGAUCUUUGGUGGGCUAUGAACACGGCAGAUGAGAAUCGAUGCAAGCUGUGACAUAUCUGUAAAGAUGAAACACAUCUGCCCUGCAACUGAGACUUAGUCAAUAUGUCAUCCAUUCCGUCGAACUCUAAAGAUGGGUUGGACUGGCGAAAACCUAACCUAGCUGUAUGCAACUAUGCUAUGCAAUACGCAGAGACGCUGCCGCGCCGAUUGUAGCUGUAGGUGGAAUUCGCUGUGCUCAUGGUUGGCCUUAAAGCUGGCAUAAUUAUUACAGCCGGAGCAGGCAGUUUUCAAAGAAAUGAAUGUAGCGUACGAAUGAGGGAAGUGUGCCAAGCUUUCUACGAAUUUAUCCCAAGGCAUUUCCCCGGGGCCUAAGUCAUAGUGAUGAACAGGAAGCCCAUGUGCACCUUUCCCAUUAAAGCGGCUUCAUCAAAUGGAAAUUCCGAGUUGUCGAGGAGGUAUUCUAGAACAUUUGUGUUACGGAAUAAGUCUGGCUCGUUAAAUUUAACCGCGAGUGAAGCACACCCCUUGCAUUUGGACGUGAGAUCGGAAUGUGAGUGAUCAUUUGCAAUAAGCACCCAUUGAGCGGGCUAGGGGAGAUGCGCACCUGUCCAUGGAACCAGAGAGACCCCUGGCGGCAGUGACGAUCCAGUUUUAAUUAUUUGGCCAACGUCCAUCGGUUGGGUCCCCCACAGUGCCAGUUUGAACCGUCAUAUCGUCGGUAGGCGCCCAGGUGAAGAAUCAUCAUACCCCGAAUCGUUUUAAAUUGGAUGGAGCUGGCCAAACUGGUUCCGAAGUAGAGGUCCUGGCAGUCUCAACACAUUCAGUCCAACGAAAACAUUCCCACUUUUAAACCAACAAAACGUUUUUGCCCUCCGGCCGGAGCGCUGCGGAAAAAAACAACCGAAGGGGAAGUACCGCUAGCGCAUGCUCACCUUUCAUUAGUAGUCACGUCUCAUUGGUGAUCAUCUCGCAUCGGUGGUAACUUGUCAUUGGUGUUCAACUCUCAUUGUUGGUCGCUUACCUCUUUUUGGUGAUCACCUCUCAUUGGCGUUCACCUCGCGUUGGUGAUCAUCUAAUAUUGGUGGUGGCCUCCCAGUGGUGAGCACCUCUCGUUGGUCGUCAUCUCUCCUUGGCUUUCUCCUAUUGGUGAUCGCCUCUUAUUUGCGGUCACCUCUCACUGGCGAUCACCUCUUGUCGAUCUCAUGCUAAAGCCAAGACAUUGCAUAAGGAAUGAUGCCAAAAUCUGGUGUGUUCCGCUUCUUCGUACGUGUUGAGGUCAAAGACCACCUUUAUUUGGUUGGCCUGAUGAUUUUAGAUUUUUGUCAACCACAAUUAACACGAUUGAAUUCUAAAACUAUGCUAAUCUUAGCCGUCUUAACAUUUUAGUGAUCAUAAGCUGUGGCGAUCGUUUACGGAUAUUAUGCAUCAAUAUCGUGUGCUUGCUUGCACAGACGUCUCGGCAGUGCCACGCCAGUGUUGGUGUGUGCAAGGGUAGUAAGCAAAGGUGCCGUUUUCCGGAAGUUCUCGUCCAAAGUCAAAUCCAAAGUCUAAGGGUGGGCCAUCUGUCCGUCCAGUGUCGAAAAAGUUAAGCUGUCCAAAAAAUUCAAUUUUGCAUAUCAAAUAACAACUUCCUUCAUCAGCUAACCCAUUCAGUUGUUGCGUCGUUGCAUUCACUCGCUCGAACUGAAUUAAAACAAAGAAAAUUAUCGUGGGUUAGUCAUAUCUGUGUGCAUUAGAUAAGUUGAUGCUGACCAAUUUACCACGCGGCAGAAUGAUAUCGGGUGUCAAAAAAAUCUGAAGCGUUUGGGCCCUACCGUCUUGUUUCCAAAUUUGACUUAAGACAUUUUUGGAAUUCCAAAAAUUGACAAUCCAGUGGACACCUCUAUAAGCAAGAAGAAAGGAGAGAUAGGUCAAAACACGCAUGCAUUCGCUGAUGUCUUUUGGCUGGCGAUCGACUGCAACGAUGCUGCAAGCAUUCCACUUCCGUUUUAUGUAUGGUAUACACAGUUUGUAGCAUCCUUCGAGUAUUGAAACGUUUGUUUUUUGUAUUGUCAUUUGUGGUAUGCACAUUGCGUAGCAUCCCUCGGCUGUCGAAACAUUUUUUGUAUUGACGUCAAGGUUUUAAAGUACGCAAAAGAAAACAUGCAAACAUGUCUUAGGAUUGGGAGUGUUAUUUCGUUCGACUACCCGGGAACAAUCGUCUUGUCCCGCUUUACCGUUCUGUGCGCUGGCUGUCCCUUUGAAGACUUGGAAAGGCUUAGCGCAAGCAGGAACAAGUGCCGCGUUUUCUAUCAGACCAGUCGACAAUUCAUGGCCCGCCCUCCUUUUCAGGUUGUGCGCGUAGAAGGAAGCGCGUUCGGUAUAUUCGGCUGAAUGUCCGCUGGGGUUUUGUUAAUGCAAUUUUACCAGACUGGCAUACUGUGCUACGCGAUUUUGCAAUGCGCGUUGGGAUUUUGCAAUCCGCGUUCUUUGCGAACAGGUGCCUUUGUGACGCGCAUGUGUUCUUGAAUGGCGAACAUAACACAUGCCACGAUGUGGCGUAACUGGCGUGGGCUUUCAUAUCUGUUAUUGUUUUCCUAAUGGGAUAUGUGUAAUAGAGUGCUGUGACAAUGCCGGCGGACCUAUGCGUUUAGUGCUGAGCGCAAACAAGUUGUGUAACAUCUGGUGUUAUAUGUUACAUACUAGCUUUACCUUUGACUUUAAGGAGUUUUCGUCUGUUUCUCGUGAGCACCUUUGGACCAUUGGGUGCAGAACCAAAGCAGGGAAAUUUACAAGUCCUACAGUAGCAAAGCUUUAAAGAAAGCUGUCGCCUUCCAUUGUUGUGUGCUGAUUGUAUUGAGGCGUGAAAUACAU